Molecule: non-coding RNA, 62 nt
Organism: Heterocephalus glaber (naked mole-rat)
Lineage: Eukaryota; Metazoa; Chordata; Mammalia; Rodentia; Bathyergidae
Source: Rfam
UAGGGGAGACAGGGUUUGGACCCCCUCCCUGAACCCAGGGUAACCCUAAAAGUGGAGGGGAC